AGAGUUUGAUCAUGGCUCAGAUUGAACGCUGGCGGCAUGCCUUACACAUGCAAGUCGAACGGCAGCACGGGUGCUUGCACCUGGUGGCGAGUGGCGAACGGGUGAGUAAUACAUCGGAACGUACCUUAUCGUGGGGGAUAACGCAGCGAAAGCUGUGCUAAUACCGCAUACGCCCUGAGGGGGAAAGCGGGGGAUCGAAAGACCUCGCGCGAUUAGAGCGGCCGAUGCCUGAUUAGCUUGUUGGUGGGGUAAAAGCCCACCAAGGCGACGAUCAGUAGCUGGUCUGAGAGGACGAUCAGCCACACUGGGACUGAGACACGGCCCAGACUCCUACGGGAGGCAGCAGUGGGGAAUUUUGGACAAUGGGGGAAACCCUGAUCCAGCAAUGCCGCGUGAGUGAAGAAGGCCUUCGGGUUGUAAAGCUCUUUUGUCAGGGAAGAAACACCGGCUCUAACACAGUCCGGGAAUGACGGUACCUGAAGAAUAAGCACCGGCUAACUACGUGCCAGCAGCCGCGGUAAUACGUAGGGUGCGAGCGUUAAUCGGAAUUACUGGGCGUAAAGCGUGCGCAGGCGGUUAUACAAGACAGGCGUGAAAUCCCCGGGCUUAACCUGGGAAUGGCGCCUGUGACUGUAUAGCUAGAGUGUGUCAGAGGGGGGUAGAAUUCCACGUGUAGCAGUGAAAUGCGUAGAUAUGUGGAGGAAUACCAAUGGCGAAGGCAGCCUCUCUGGGAUAACACUGACGCUCAUGCACGAAAGCGUGGGGAGCAAACAGGAUUAGAUACCCUGGUAGUCCACGCCCUAAACGAUGCUGACUAGUUGUUCGGGAUUUACAUCCUGAGUAACGUAGCUAACGCGUGAAGUCAGCCGCCUGGGGAGUACGGUCGCAAGAUUAAAACUCAAAGGAAUUG
Molecule: ribosomal RNA, 910 nt
Filed under: uncultured bacterium
Lineage: Bacteria
Description: bacterial SSU rRNA
Rfam family: Bacterial small subunit ribosomal RNA
Source: RNAcentral